This 366-nucleotide long non-coding RNA is filed under the name Vicia faba (fava bean). The record is from RNAcentral. Lineage: Eukaryota; Viridiplantae; Streptophyta; Magnoliopsida; Fabales; Fabaceae.
AUGAAGGAAUAUAAAGUCUAUUUAGAACGAGCUAGAUCUCGCCAACAGCACUUCCUAUACCCACUUAUUUUUAGGGAGUAUAUUUAUGGACUUGCUUAUAGUCAUAAUUUGAAUAGAUCCAUUUUUGUGGAAAAUAUAGGUUAUGACAAGAAAUAUAGUUUACUAAUUGUAAAACGGUUAAUUACUCGAAUGUAUCAACAGAAUCAUUUAAUCAUUUGGGCUAAUGAUUCUAACAAAAAUCCAUUUUGGGGAUAUACGAAUACCCUAUCCUAUCCAUCUGGAAAUCUUAGUUCAAAUCCUUCGAUACUGGGUGAAAGAUGCCCCUUUUUUUCAUUUCUUACGGCUGUUUCUUUGGAAUUGGAAUAG